RNAcentral lists this ribosomal RNA (422 nucleotides) under uncultured bacterium. Its description in RNAcentral is "bacterial SSU rRNA". It matches the Rfam family "Bacterial small subunit ribosomal RNA", at positions 355 to 774 of the family's 1533-position model. The record is from RNAcentral.
UAAGGAAUAUUGGUCAAUGGACGCAAGUCUGAACCAGCCAUGCCGCGUGAAGGAUUAAGGCCCUCUGGGUUGUAAACUUCUUUUAUAGGGGAAGAAAUGUGACGGUUCUCCGUCACUUGACGGUACCCUGGGAAUAAGCACCGGCUAACUACGUGCCAGCAGCCGCGGUAAUACGUAGGACCCAAGCGUUGUCCGGAUUUACUGGGUGUAAAGGGUGCGCAGGCGGAUGGGUAAGUCAGGGGUGAAAGUCUGCAGCUUAACUGUAGAAUUGCCUUUGAUACUGCUCAUCUUGAGUGUGGGAGAGGUUGAUGGAAUUCCAGGUGUAGCAGUGAAAUGCGUAGAUAUCUGGAAGAACACCAGUGGCGAAGGCGGUCAACUGGCCCAUAACUGACGCUCAUGCACGAAAGCGUGGGGAGCAAACA